This 301-nucleotide ribosomal RNA is filed under the name uncultured bacterium. RNAcentral's name for it is "partial 16S ribosomal RNA". It matches the Rfam family "Bacterial small subunit ribosomal RNA", at positions 509 to 807 of the family's 1533-position model. The record is from RNAcentral.
CAGUCGCCGCGGGAAUACGGAGGGUGCAAGCGUUAAUCGGAAUUACUGGGCGUAAAGCGUGCGUAGGCGGUUCGUUAAGUCUGUUGUGAAAGCCCCGGGCUCAACCUGGGAAUGGCAAUGGAUACUGGCGAGCUAGAGUGUGUCAGAGGAUGGUGGAAUUCCCGGUGUAGCGGUGAAAUGCGUAGAGAUCGGGAGGAACAUCAGUGGCGAAGGCGGCCAUCUGGGUCAACACUGACGCUGAGGCACGAAAGCGUGGGGAGCAAACAGGAUUAGAUACCCCUGUAGUCCCUGUCUCUUAUAC